AGUGGGGGGAGGUGGGCUGGGCUGUGCCAGGAGGGGACGGGCAGCGGGGCCUGAGCCAGCAGGGUAAGUGCAGGCAGGGAUGGAGCCCACGCUGGGGCAGGGGCUGGGCAUGCUGGGGAUGGCGGCAGGACCAUUGUGUCCCCCCAGGGCUGGGCUCUCAGGAGGCUGAACCGAGGUCCUGUGCUUUUGGUGCAGGGGUGCCAAGAGCAGGCGGGUCCUUGAGGAAAGAUACUCGCUGCCCCUUCGCAUCAGCCCUUUGCAGGACAUCUUGUAUCUAUUCAGAUGGCUGCCAUGAAACAAGAGGCUGGCUCCAAUGUGCCAUUAGGGUGGAGAGACUUCCUUGUUACUCACUCCUACCAUGUAGCAUUGAUGUAUGAUGCUAAAGCUGUUUCCCUGGAACACAUGGGAACCAGACUUGAGCAAGGAAGGUCAAAGUGAAGUGAAAGCAACAGUGCUCGUCUCGAGCUUUGUUCACAGUUCUGCAACAGGAGAAUAAAGCACUGUGGAGAAAGUGGCGGCUGGCUCUGUCCCAGUUCCUCAGGUCAUGCUACUUGGAAUCCCUCUUCCAGGGAAGGCUAACCAUGAAGUAGACACAAAUCCUCUUCUAGAAAUGAAAUCAGGUCUGAAUAAGAGCUUUGAAUCCAGAUGGCACCAUGUCUUGAAUGCAGACACCUCCUGCCAGUGAAUACACCCUCUUGCAUUGGAUGUGAGUCACCAAUAGCUCCACAGCUGCAGCCCCAAACCAACAUCUGUGUAAAGGUAAUUGAGAAUAAAUCUAACAAAACAGCAAUUUACCUCCUGGCAUGCAUUUUUCUAACAGAUGACUUCAUGAAAAAUAGUUUGAUCCAGAUUGGAUUUCUCUAAUUACAUGAUGACAGCUUUAAGGGUUAGUAGGAUUCAAACCACCUUGUAUAGAAAUACGCAUUAAAGGUAAACCACAUAAGCUCAGGAAGGCAUCUUGAAGAGCACAGGAGGUAGCAGUGUGAAAGACAGGAACACGUGCACUUGUGUUCAGUAGGAAGAUAUUCUCUGAUUCUAUCAUUUAUGGCCUUAGUAUUACUGAGCAUUUGAAGUUUGUUAAAUAUGUGCUCAUUACUCUGCUUCCCUCAUUUGAUUGUAAGUGCUUAGCACAGAUGGGCUGGCAGGACUGGGGCAGUGGGGAGAUGCCCAAAAUGCUCAAGCACAGUAUUAGUCAGUGAUCCAAAAGUGCUGGUGGGCUUAACUAGACAAAAUCUACCCUAUAGAAUACUCCCUCCCCAAGGGUAUGGGGACCCAGGUAGGGGCCAUCCUCAACCCCUCCAGUCAGGGGAAAGGGUGUGAGAAAGAGCCAACUGAUGCUGCAUGGCCACAAUUGGUAGAUUAUAGACACUGCCCCACAUUGGAUGUUUUCUGGCAGUCCUGAUGCAGGUGCAAAGGCAGACUUGAACUAUUUGGUGGCCACCAUCAAAACAGCAGACUCAUUAUUCUCAGCUCUGGUGGAAUCUCGCUUGUUAAUAGUGACUGUGCUGGGGCACCCUCAGGGGGAUAAGAAUCAUUUUCCUUGCAGAUACUGGACUUUCUGUUUUGUGUGAGUGCAGUGACUAAGCAAACUGACACUAGUCUAUACAAACAUCUGGAGGUAUUGAUGCUGGAUCUCCUGAGGGAACUGGACCAUACUUUAAAAUGAAUUGUCACCAAGAUCCAUGGAUUUGUGAUGAGCAGGCACUAUGGCCUAACUAAAACCUGAAGCCCACACCACAGACCUGAAGGAUCUCUUCUAUCUGCAGGGCUGAAUAACCAGAGCACUUUGGAAGAUCAAGUCCUCUUCUUAUUAGUGUUGUUGAUAGUUUUGAGAUAUUAAGUGAAAUGCAUUCUUUCUCUGUUUAAAAGGGCAAAGUAAUUUGUCAGGUGUGUGGCACAGGAAAUCUUCACCGUAAACACCGUGUGACUUGUGAAAGCAAGCUGCCUGCAAUACAGAUGCUGAGGCUUCCUCCAUCCAAUCACACUAGGGUUAAUCAAAUCAAAGCACAACAUUCUUUUUCUUUGGAAAACUGAAGUCAUAGCCCUGUGUCCCUAUGUUACAAAAGCAGAGAUUCCCUCCCUCAUGGGAUAUUCAAGCCCAGGACUCCCACAGAUCCUCCAUCACAAGUGUCCAGCUAAAGAGAAGCGUACCUUUGAGUUCCUCCUGUGGAAGUCAGGAUUGUGUGUGCCAUUGUGAAAGCUCAGAAGGCUCUUAGAAGAUGGGGAGUCUUGGCUCCAAGGGAGUUUUGUUUGUGUUCAGAUUCUUUUCAAGUGCAGUAGCAAACUUGAGUGUCUACAUCAGGAAGAGAAUUUUUGUUGUUUUCCAUUAUUUUGUGAAAAUAAAAUAUUCUUUUCCAUUA
Long non-coding RNA from Strigops habroptila (Kakapo), 2360 nucleotides. RefSeq lists it as uncharacterized. The transcript is spliced from 4 exons. The record is from RefSeq and is a predicted model, not a curated record. NCBI's taxonomy places the organism in Eukaryota, Metazoa, Chordata, Aves, Psittaciformes, Psittacidae.